Non-coding RNA from Nelumbo nucifera (sacred lotus), 32 nucleotides. The record is from Rfam. Lineage: Eukaryota; Viridiplantae; Streptophyta; Magnoliopsida; Proteales; Nelumbonaceae.
ACAUUAUCUUUUACAGUGUUAAAAUAUAAUGU